GUGCCAGCAGCCGCGGUAAUUCGUGCUCCGCUAGCGUUAAUCGGAAUUACUGUGCGUAAAAAGCUCGUAGUUGAAUUUUGAAGUUUGUCGGGAAAGCCCCGUCACCGCGCUGGGAGUUGCGAUGAAGACUGUCCCUUUGAAUCUGGCAUACCCUUCACUGAUUCCACGGGUAGCAGUGAAAUGCGUAGAGAUGUGGAGUAACACCGAUGGGGAAGGCCGCCCCCUGGAUAAAGAUUGAUGCUCAUGCACGAAAGCGUGCGGAGCAAACAUUUAUUAGAUACCCUGGUAGUCCACGCCCUAAACGAUGUCUACUAGUUGUCGGUCUUUAUUUAACUUUGAAACGCAGCUAUCGUGUGACGUAUACCGCCUGACUAGUACGGUCGCAUGAUUCAAACUCGAAUGCAUUGACGAGGACCCGCACAUGCGGGGGAGGAGGUGAAUUAAUUCGAUGCAACGCGAAACACCAUACCUACCCUUGACAUGUACGGAAGACCGAAGAGAUUUGGUUGUGCUCGAAAGACGACCGUAACACAGUGUGCUGCAUGCCUGUCGUCAGCUCGUGUCGUGAGAUAUUGGGUUAAAUCCCGCGACGAGCGCACCACCUUGUCAUUAGUUGCUACGAUAGGGCACUCUAAUGAGACUGCAGUCGACAGGUCGAAGCAAGGUGGGGAUGACGACAAUGUCGUCAUCGUUUCUUAUGUGUAGGGCUUGCAGACGUCAUGACCAGUGCUACAGUACGGGAGCGCCGCUUAAUCCUGCUGUAGUGGAGAUAAUCACAGAAGUGUAUCGUAGUCAGAGUCGUAGACUGCUACUGCGACUACGUGAGUCGUAUCAGCUACUAUCGCUGCAUCACCAUGUCAGCGUUGAGAACAAUACCGGGCGGU
RNAcentral lists this ribosomal RNA (884 nucleotides) under uncultured bacterium. RNAcentral describes it as "bacterial SSU rRNA". It matches the Rfam family "Bacterial small subunit ribosomal RNA", at positions 505 to 1384 of the family's 1533-position model. The record is from RNAcentral.